Molecule: ribosomal RNA, 184 nt
Filed under: uncultured bacterium
Lineage: Bacteria
Description: partial 16S ribosomal RNA
Rfam family: Bacterial small subunit ribosomal RNA
Source: RNAcentral
UAUGAAGUUGGAAUCGCUAGUAAUCGCGGAUCAGCAUGCCGCGGUGAAUACGUUCCCGGGCCUUGUACACACCGCCCGUCACACCAUGAGAGUCGGGAACACCCGAAGUCCGUAGCCUAACUUAUCUGAGAGGGCGCGGCCGAAGGUGGGUUCGAUAAUUGGGGUGAAGUCGUAACAAGGUAUC